RNAcentral lists this long non-coding RNA (1400 nucleotides) under Triticum aestivum (bread wheat). RNAcentral's name for it is "long non-coding RNA (TAES_LNC002737)". Lineage: Eukaryota; Viridiplantae; Streptophyta; Magnoliopsida; Poales; Poaceae. The record is from RNAcentral.
GCGGAGUUGCGGGACGGCACGGGCACCUUCGAGGGGAACAAGUGCAUGAUCGACGAGGUCAUCGACGUGAUCACCGUCGUCAUCGAGGCCGCCGUCGUCGCCGGCCGGGUCCUGCACAAGCCCUAGCUACAUAGUACCACAACGGCGCGCGCGCCGAGCCGGCCGGCGAGCUGGGGGGACAAGCAACAACUUGCUCGGUAGGUGGGUGGUGCAUGCCUUUUCUGCUUGGUGUCACUCGUCAGUCACGGUGUGUGUCCGUGUCCUGUCACGCGCGCACCGGCGCCUCACGUACAGUCUCGCGGGCACGGGCUAAGAUCGACGACGGCGCCGGAUUUUGCGACAUGUAUAUGGGCAUGGUUACCAUCACCUGCUUUGCAGGAUUUUAUUUACUUGAUGAGUUGGUUCGUCUUUGCCUACACGCAUCAUGCCCAGCUCGUACGCUACGUGUUCAUGUCAUGCAUAAUUGGUAUACUUACUACACUGUUGUUACCACUGUUCAAAUUUCAGUGAAUUUUGCUGCUUAAAGCUACUUCGGAUUUUGGGGGUAAUCUAUAGAUCAGUACCGUAAUUUGUGUCGUCUGAAUUAUGUAUAGAACAAAAGCAACUUGUCCAUUAAUUGGAUUAUUAUAUGAUGUUGAUGUGAUGGCGACGCCUUUCAGAGUGUACGGCUGCCCCGGUUCGAUCUGCAUAUAACGUGAUUACUUUUGCACACAAUCGUUUUCUUUCUUUAGAGAAAGGACUCUUUGGCUAGGUUUCUCUUUCCUCCCGCUGGUGCCCUGGUGCCCUCGCCGGUCUACCUCGUCUUUGUCUUAGGCCAUGGAGGCGCGGUGGAUUCCGGCCUUUACUGACGGGAGGGUUUCGUUUUUCCAUGAUUUUUGAGUUUUGUUAGGAUUUGUGUCCUACUCAGAAAGGUGAAGCGGCGACGGCUUUCUGAAAUGGAAUAAGGUUCUAUAUAGCCCAAUUCCGGUGGUGUUUCUAGCACCGUCGGAGGGCGUGUGAAGUGUCUCCAACGGAUCUCGUGGGAUUCGGUCAGCAUUUGUCUUCAGUGGAUCCACGUGGAUCCGAUCUUUGUUCGUCUGUGUUUGUGUGCCUAUAAGUUGGAUCCUUCCGAUCUACACUUCUCUUCAUUGGCGUGGUUGUUGUUUUGAUGCAUUGGUCCUAUGGGACCUUAGCACGAUGACUUUCCUAUUAUCUACUACAAUAAGGUUUGCCUGGCUCCGAUGAGGAAGCGACAAAGACAGGGCGUGCCUUCGGCUCGCUCUAGUGCUUGUCGUCGUCGCUAGGUGGUCUACGAACCUGGAUGUAUUUUUUACUUCUGAAAUUCUUUGUACUACCUUGACAGUUGAUGAAUAGAUUGAAAGUUUUCUCGCAAAAAAAGUGAUUAGUUUUGCAGUAAUGCU